Molecule: ribosomal RNA, 275 nt
Filed under: uncultured bacterium
Lineage: Bacteria
Description: partial 16S ribosomal RNA
Rfam family: Bacterial small subunit ribosomal RNA
Source: RNAcentral
AUACGAAGGUGGCGAGCGUUGUUCGGAUUUAUUGGGCGUAAAGGGCUCGUAGGCGGUUCAACAAGUCGAUCGUGAAAGCCCGGGGCUCAACCCCGGGACGCCGGUCGAAACUGUUGUGACUAGGGUCCGGUAGAGGUGAGUGGAAUUCUCGGUGUAGCGGUGGAAUGCGCAGAUAUCGAGAGGAACACCAGUUGCGAAGGCGGCUCACUGGGCCGGUACCGACGCUAAGGAGCGAAAGCGUGGGGAGCAAACAGGAUUAGAUACCCCAGUAGUCC